Molecule: long non-coding RNA, 185 nt
Organism: Etheostoma spectabile (orangethroat darter)
Lineage: Eukaryota; Metazoa; Chordata; Actinopteri; Perciformes; Percidae
Exons: 3
Source: RefSeq, a predicted model, not a curated record
AAAAACACACUUAGGGCCCUAUCCUGCACCCGGCGCAGCACAAAGCCUGACGCAAGUUCCUUUGCUAGUUUAAGACCAAUGCAGUUCUCAAUUUCCCAUCCAUCCAAUGCACCUGCGCCCAUCUGUGCACCCAUGGGUGUGCUGGUCUGACAGGGAGGUGUAUUUAGGUGCAUUUUUGGCGUAUU